AUGUGGACAUCUCUCCUGUGUCUUCUUCUGGCUGGUGCAGUAUCUGCAGCACCACUUUCACCGUUUUUCAAUUAUCUCCCUCAUUAUGGCAACCCGAAGCAGGGGAAUAAUGGUGGCUUCCAGGGAAUACCAGCACAGCCACAUCCUGGUCUGAACACUCCAAUCAGCAUGGAAAUCAUUUUCCCUCCGCGAUUCCCUGCUACUCCAGGAGGAGCAGCUGGCACAUCG
Molecule: long non-coding RNA, 228 nt
Organism: Sinocyclocheilus anshuiensis
Lineage: Eukaryota; Metazoa; Chordata; Actinopteri; Cypriniformes; Cyprinidae
Exons: 4
Source: RefSeq, a predicted model, not a curated record